This is a long non-coding RNA of Carassius auratus (goldfish), 550 nucleotides long. RefSeq lists it as uncharacterized. Lineage: Eukaryota; Metazoa; Chordata; Actinopteri; Cypriniformes; Cyprinidae. The transcript has 3 exons. The record is from RefSeq and is a predicted model, not a curated record.
AAUAGUGAUGAAGAAGAUGAGAGCUCUGAGGAUGAAGGUGCUGAAGAAGUACAGGAUGAUGAUGAUGUUGCAAAUAUUGGUCCAACUGCCAGAGGACAGGGUUCUGUCUCUUACGUUGCACUAAAUGCAUUUACGGGAGAGGAGAAAGGGGAACUCAGCAUCCAGAGUGUAUCAUUUUAUUUUAGUUAUACAAUCCUUGAAUUCAGGUUAUUUUCUUGCUUCUAGCAAUUUGUCUUUGUUUUUGCCUUGUUUCAGAAUGGAGAGGUUUUAAAAGUUCUCUCUAAAAAAUAAGGAUGGAUGGUGGCUGGCUAAAAACUCAAAAUGCCAGAAGGGCCUGGUUCCCAAAACCUUCUUGGAGAUGGCUUCUCUGUAUGGUAGUGAGAGAGAGAGAGAGAUAAUGAGGAGUGAAGAAGAAGAGUACAGUCUGACAUAAAGUCCAGAAAUCAUGGACCGAAUCAGAGAGUAACCUGAGAAGAUCUGAAAAGGUACUGUGUGUGUGUACAUCACAUGAUUGCUACAGUAUUAAUUUAAAUGGUCCUAUUAUGCUUUA